AGAAGAGGAAACUGAGGCUUUAGAGAACUGUAGCACAUUGGCAAGGACACCCAGCUCAUAAACAAUCCAUCAGAAAAGUGAGGUCACUGAGAAACCCACCACCCAAAACCUGGACAGAUAGAGAAAUACAGAAGCAUGGCUUACAGAGAGCAGAAGCAGCUGCUGGAGCCACCAUCUGGUAGAAACACUUCAGGGAAGAGAAAACAGUGACCUGGAGACAGUUAUUUCACCAACAAAGGCAGCCAGCACUUCUCAAUUCCAUCAUACAGAGAACAUUUUGUUGAGAUGACACCAACUUCCAGUUCUUCACAAAGAUACAGCCCCCAGCCUUCAGCAUGAGAACAGGGACAUCAGCCUGCUUUGCCCAUGGAGCUGUCUCCAGAGCCUACAACAAUGCUCAGCCUGUGAGAGUUGUCACAUCUGGGAGGAUCAUGGGAGAGCUGCUUCUGAUAUCUGGAGAGCAGAGGCUGGGAGUGCCACUCAACAUUCCA
RNAcentral lists this long non-coding RNA (491 nucleotides) under Pongo abelii (Sumatran orangutan). RNAcentral's name for it is "lincRNA". Lineage: Eukaryota; Metazoa; Chordata; Mammalia; Primates; Hominidae. The record is from RNAcentral.